Molecule: ribosomal RNA, 253 nt
Filed under: uncultured bacterium
Lineage: Bacteria
Description: partial 16S ribosomal RNA
Rfam family: Bacterial small subunit ribosomal RNA
Source: RNAcentral
UACGUGGGGGGCAAGCGUUGUUCGGAAUUACUGGGCGUAAAGAGCUUGUAGGCGGUUUGUCGCGUCUGCUGUGAAAUUUCGGGGCUCAACCCCGAACUUGCAGUGGGUACGGGCAGGCUAGAGUGUGGUAGGGGAGACUGGAAUUCCUGGUGUAGCGGUGAAAUGCGCAGAUAUCAGGAGGAACACCGAUGGCGAAGGCAGGUCUCUGGGCCACUACUGACGCUGAGAAGCGAAAGCAUGGGGAGCGAACAGG